AGCCAUCUGCAGCUGCUCUCCAUUUCCCUCUUCUGCAAGGUGAUGGAAUUGGUAGUGGAAGAGGGUAAAAAGCCCCUGAAGACAAUUGUGAGCUGGAGCCUGCUCCCACUCUUCUUGCACUGUCAUGAUGAGAACUGGGACGUGGCAGAGGCAGGUUUCCUCGGCGCCAUUUUAGAGAGCAGUGGAGGCAGCACUUGACGGAGGUAACAAGGGUGGGUGUGAACUGCAGGGACUAACAGGUUCAACCUUGUAACAACAACUCUGCUUAUUACAACUUCAAAUCAACAGUAACAUUAGAGGUUUUACAUCUUAACAACAACAUAAUUAACACACUUAACUUACUGAAACUUCACAUUUAACAGUAACACUUUCAAUGGCCUUAACUUAUAGGAUUGUCCAUUACAACUCCCCCCUCUAUUCCUUUGAUCGGGCUGAUGCCCGCAUCAAUUUGCUGUUUCUUGCUCUUGGAAAUAAAAUUUCCUGAGUUUUUGAUAUUUAUUAUAUAUCUCUUUUGCCGUCUCGUGGUUUGGCUUCUGGCUUUCCAUCAACAUUAUUUUUGCCUGUUUUUGAGUAUUUACUUCAAGACGUCGAAUACUUGCCUGGACUGUGGAAGUUAGUAUUUUGACUAGACAAGGGAACAGACAAGGUAAAAACACCAAACCGGUUAUUCAACAGAUGGUUAUAAACACAGCCUUUUCCCACCAUGUUCCUUUAAAGGACCAGAACUCAUCCCACCAGUUACUAUUUAUUAGAGGUGUCCAUUCCUGAUUUCCAACAUAGGCCAGUUUGCGGAUUUCCUUAGAUAUAUUUUUUAUUACUGUACUUUUAUCAUCAAUCUCCAAGCAGCACUCAGAUGAGUUGAAUUUUCCACAUAUUCCUCCUUCAUCUGCCAAUAAGUAGUCUACUGCCAACCUAAUUUGAUAAAUUACUGUUCUCGUUUGGGACAAUUGGUCACUUAUAUGUUCGAAUGCUAGCGCUGUUCGAUUUGAAACUUUUUCCAGUACUGCUUGGAGCCUGAUUAUCCUAUUUAACAUAUAGAUAGGGGUACGGUAGCCCCAGGAUCCAUCCUGAGCCCAUGUGGCUGGCCCAUAUGUUUGAAUAAUUUCUUCUGGAGUCCAUACUUUACUUCUCCAUACUUGUGUACCUCCCAUGUCAAUUACAUCUCUUUUCUUUCUAUUAUCCUUCCGUAAGUCAUCAUAUACCGGGACUCCUAAGUGUGCUCCUGAUUUCUUAGGCAAUAGGAAAAAGGCUGGUUUAAUGACCCCUAUGGUGCAACUCCCCAUCCAAUCUCCAGGUAACCUGGUGUAAGCGGUGUUUCCACAGAUCCAGAACAAAUAUUCUGGGGCUUGCCAGAACUCAUCCCCAGUUUCACCUGGGAAUUCCCAGAAGUUUGAUAGUUCCCUAAUCCCCCAGAAGGGAUUUAUUCUUUUUCCUGUACAUUUAUGGAGCUUAUAUCCUUCAUGAUAUAUACAUCCUGUCUCAGUUUUUCCAACAGCCCAAUAUGUAUUGGGUUCCUUUGGGACCCAUUUGGAAUCUUGUUCCCUUAUCAUUAUAUACCUUUUACAUGCCAUUUUUCCUACAGGGGUGUUGUAUCUUUUUCCUAUUCUCAGUAUACAUUCUUCACCUACUACUUGUGAUUUUAAAUUCCAUUUUUCUUUUCCACGGGAUGUCAAAGAUUCAUAAUCUAAUUUUGUUUGUUUCCAUCUUAGAAUUUCUAGUGGGCUUAGGCUAAUUCCCUCCCAUGGCCAAAUUUCUGUCAUUUGAGUACUUCCGCAAACCCAGCAUUCAGUUAAGUUUAACUCUUUGCUUAUCUUCUCCACCAGAUCUAUAAAUAAAUUUCUCUCUGAGGGAGCAUCCGGGAUCUCUCUCUCCCUUAUCAGCUGUUUUUCCUUUACCAAGUCUUUCAAUCCUUCAUGUUCAAAACAAAACCAGGAUUCUCCUACUGGGCACUCCCCAAGCAGGCGUUGCCUAUAAGUGGCUGUAUUCCUGGUAGUCCAAUAUACUUUCCCAUCUUCUCGACAGGUAAUUAACUGAGAGUGAUUAAAACAGCUCGGGUUUAUGUUGGUAUGGACUCUAAAGAAGGACCUCAGGUCUUCCCCAUCAUAGAUAGGAUGAUAACA
Passer domesticus (house sparrow) is the source of this 2120-nucleotide long non-coding RNA. RefSeq lists it as uncharacterized. The transcript is spliced from 2 exons. Lineage: Eukaryota; Metazoa; Chordata; Aves; Passeriformes; Passeridae. The record is from RefSeq and is a predicted model, not a curated record.